Molecule: microRNA, 22 nt
Filed under: Chrysemys picta bellii (western painted turtle)
Lineage: Eukaryota; Metazoa; Chordata; Testudines; Emydidae
Also listed under: 1 other name
Description: Cpi-Mir-9594_5p (mature (co-guide))
Source: RNAcentral
ACAGUGUAAAUCGGCAUAGCGC